Molecule: ribosomal RNA, 294 nt
Filed under: uncultured bacterium
Lineage: Bacteria
Description: partial 16S ribosomal RNA
Rfam family: Bacterial small subunit ribosomal RNA
Source: RNAcentral
AGUCCUACGGGACGCAGCAGUGGGGAAUAUUGGGCAAUGGGCGCAAGCCUGACCCAGCAACGCCGCGUGAAGGAAGAAGGCUUUCGGGUCGUAAACUUCUUUUCUCAGGGACGAAGCAAGUGACGGUACCUGAGGAAUAAGCCACGGCUAACUACGUGCCAGCAGCCGCGGUAAUACGUAGGUGGCAAGCGUUAUCCGGAUUUACUGGGUGUAAAGGGCGUGUAGGCGGGAAAGCAAGUCAGAUGGGAAAACCAUGGGCUCAACCUGUGGCCUGCAUUUGAAACUGUUUUUCUU